AGAGUUUGAUCCUGGCUCAGAUUGAACGCUGGCGGCAUGCCUAACACAUGCAAGUCGAACGGUAACAGGUCCUCGGGAUGCUGACGAGUGGCGGACGGGUGCGUAAUGCGUAGGGAUCUACCUCGUUGCGUGGGAUAGCCUAGGGAAACUUAGGGUAAUACCGCAUAAGUCUUACGAGAGAAAGCAGGGGACCGAAAGGC
Molecule: ribosomal RNA, 200 nt
Filed under: uncultured bacterium
Lineage: Bacteria
Description: partial 16S ribosomal RNA
Rfam family: Bacterial small subunit ribosomal RNA
Source: RNAcentral